ACGAAGGGGGCUAGCGUUGUUCGGAUUUACUGGGCGUAAAGCGCACGUAGGCGGAUAUUUAAGUCAGGGGUGAAAUCCCGGGGCUCAACCCCGGAACUGCCUUUGAUACUGGAUAUCUUGAGUAUGGAAGAGGUAAGUGGAAUUCCGAGUGUAGAGGUGAAAUUCGUAGAUAUUCGGAGGAACACCAGUGGCGAAGGCGGCUUACUGGUCCAUUACUGACGCUGAGGUGCGAAAGCGUGGGGAGCAAACAGG
RNAcentral lists this ribosomal RNA (252 nucleotides) under uncultured bacterium. RNAcentral's name for it is "partial 16S ribosomal RNA". It matches the Rfam family "Bacterial small subunit ribosomal RNA", at positions 525 to 776 of the family's 1533-position model. The record is from RNAcentral.